UGAAUGUCAACUGGUGUCCAGUCGAACUUCAGUUGUGCUUCUGUUUGCUGCUUAAUUGCCAAAUACACUAACGGCUCCGAGUUGCUCUAUUACUAUUAAAGGGCUGGUUUACAUCUGGGGCAUCAUUAAUGUCAUCGCUUGUGCCCUGAUAAGUGUUUCCACGCUAUUGUAGGGGAACUCUGACUCUAGGACCUGCUACAGCACUGCCGGCCCGAGGCUGGGAGGCUAGCUAGCUUGGAGUACGGGUGGUGGUGCAAUUGUGUGGAGUGCAGUGCCGCUUGGAUUCACCUCUCACGGUGUGUGUGUGUGUGUGUGUGUGUGUGUGUGUGUGUGUGUGUUACACGAAUUCACAGAUAGGGUCUUCACUCCAUCUAGCCUGCCCCUGCCGCUGGAAAGCCUGUGUCUUUUAUUAUUUUUUUAUUUUUUUUUUUUUAUUAUUUUUUUGUUGUGAGUAUUUUCAAAUUGACAUCUUUAGUUUGUCCAGUACACAGAGCUUUUGAUUGUGACAGUGUUUGAUUGUGACCUGACAUUUGACAUUGAUUAUCACUGAACAUUUUAACUAUUUAUGGUGAUUUGAAUAAAGUCUUUUGUACAUUGUUCA
Molecule: long non-coding RNA, 601 nt
Organism: Labeo rohita (rohu)
Lineage: Eukaryota; Metazoa; Chordata; Actinopteri; Cypriniformes; Cyprinidae
Exons: 2
Source: RefSeq, a predicted model, not a curated record